Molecule: ribosomal RNA, 253 nt
Filed under: uncultured bacterium
Lineage: Bacteria
Description: partial 16S ribosomal RNA
Rfam family: Bacterial small subunit ribosomal RNA
Source: RNAcentral
GACAGAGGGUGCAAACGUUGCUCGGAAUCACUGGGCGUAAAGGGCGCGUAGGCGGGCAUGUAAGUCGGGCGUGAAAUCCCUAGGCUCAACCUAGGAACUGCACUCGAAACUGCGUUUCUUGAGUAUCGGAGAGGAAAGCGGAAUUCCUGGUGUAGAGGUGAAAUUCGUAGAUAUCAGGAGGAACACCAGUGGCGAAGGCGGCUUUCUGGACGGUAACUGACGCUGAGGCGCGAAAGCGUGGGGAGCAAACAGG